Molecule: ribosomal RNA, 2052 nt
Filed under: Triticum aestivum (bread wheat)
Lineage: Eukaryota; Viridiplantae; Streptophyta; Magnoliopsida; Poales; Poaceae
Description: partial small subunit ribosomal RNA
Source: RNAcentral
AUGGCAGCCGGAGGGGUGUCGCAUCUGUGGAGGGAAUGGGGGAUUCAAAGCCUUGUCCUUUUGAGCUUCGCGCUGCAAGUGCUCCUCCUCGUCUUCGGAGGGAUGCGUCGGUGUGGCCUCUCCACCUCGCUGAGGGUAGCCCUCUGGUUAGCAUACCUGUCGGCGGACUCCACGGCGAUAUACACCCUGGGCCAUCUAUCCAUCACCAGCGGCGGGUCACGUGAGCACCAGCUGGCCGCGUUCUGGGCGCCCUUCCUCCUGCUGCAUCUCGGCGGGCCGUACAACGUCACCGCCUACGCGCUCGAGGACAACCGUCUCUGGCUGCGCCACCUGCAGACCCUUGUUGUGCAGGUCCUUGGAGCUGCUUAUGUCCUCUACAAGUACAUGGCCGACAGCGGGACCUUGCUUCAGCUGGCCUCAAUCUCCAUGUUUGUUGCCGGCAUUGUCAAGUACGGUGAGAGGACAUGGGCACUCAAGCGUGCCAACGACAACAAGAGCAGCUCUGGUAAGGCGGUUGGCCCUUAUGAAUUACUGAGACAGGAUAUGGGUGACGAUGAAAUAUUGCUCCGAGCGCACUCCCAGUUCGCCAUCUGCAAGUCCGGCUUCGACGAUACCAAGGUGGUAAUGCGCCCCAAGCCCCCAGACGAGGAUUCACCUCGUCUCUUUCCUUUCUAUGACGAGGAUAUAUUCAAGUUGGUGGAGAUGGAGCUGUCUCUGAUGUACGACACACUGUACACCAAGGCAGCAGUGAUCCACACAUGGUAUGGCUUCUGCAUCCAUUCCAUCUCGCUGGUUGGCACAUCAGCUGCCUUGUGCUUGUUUCGGCUCAGGCUCAGCAGAGGGGAUCAUGCGUACAAGAGGGUAGAUGUAGCCAUCUCUUACAUUUUGCUGGCUGGGGCUUUGGUCCUGGAGGUCAUAUCAGCAUGUAGGGCAGUAUUGUCUAGCUGGACAUGUUGUUUCGUUCUUCGAAAGGCGGAGGAUUACAGCGGGAGCACUCGGGCUGCUUGGCUAGAGUGGCUUCACUAUUAUGUCCUCUCUUCACUUCGCAAGCCUUUGAAGCCGGCAAACAGGAGACUGUGGCGGGGCACCAUUGGGCAGUAUAACAUGCUCCAUCUGUGCACCCGGGACCGGACGGGCCUCGGGAGCAAGCUGGCAGCGAAGAUAGGGCAGGAGGACUGGUGGAACAAGCUGCAUUUCUCGGGCACUUUCUGUGGCAGCGAUUCGUUGUCGAUGCAGCAACUCAAGGGAUUGCUCUUCAAAAUGAUACGACAGGAUGGGUUUGCGAAGCUCGUGGGCCCUUUGAGCACAAUGACCACAAGAGGCAGCUUUAUCCUGGAGCAGAAGCAAGCGUUCAAGGGUGUUGCCAAAUGGACUGUGCUCAACAUUGAGUUGGACGAGAGCAUCGUUAUAUGGCACAUCGCAACUGAUUUGUUCAUCUGGGAAUCCAAGGCUGGCCAUGAAGUAGAGCUUAUUGAGGUUACAAGGGUGCUAUCCAAUUACAUGAUGUUCCUGCUGGUGGCAAAACCCGCCAUGCUACCUGGCCGUGAACGCCGCACGGUACAUCUUACGCCCUCCAGGAUCCUGGAAACAAUAUGGCGGGUACAUAUCUUAGGUGACGAGGACAAAUCUGUGAGGGCAUCUCCCGGAAGCUGGAACAAGUGCUGUGUACUUAAGGAAUUGUUCCACCAUGAAGGCCCGAAUGGCUCCACGAUCACUCAGGCUCAGAGGGAGAAGCUUGCCGAGACACUGUUUGCCAACUGGUCUUAUGAGGGGGCGCAGCAACUUGAUUCGUAUCCAGAGGUUCUUGAAGGGUCACGUGACGAGUUGUACACGUGUGCAAGCAAUCUCGCCAAACAGCUCCUCCACUUGGGUAGGCCUGACACGUUGGAACUCAUCUUCUCCGUGUGGGUGGAGAUGAUGCUUUAUGCUGCGGAUCACUGCCCCCGAGAUUCCCAUGCCAGGGAGCUCAGUAAUGGCGGCGAGUUUAUCACCAUCCUGUGGCUUCUGGUACAGCACUGGACGUACGUCUACAAAAACAAAAUAGCAUGUUAG